CAGAGUUGCAAAACUCCCAAACCAUUGUGAACGUUACCUUUACCGUUGCUUCGGCGGGCGGCCCGGGUCCUGCCCCGGCGCCCCUCGGCCCUCGCGGGCGCCCGCCGGAGGUAAACCAAACUAUUGCAUUGUAUGGCCUCUCUGAGUCUUCUGUACUGAAUAAGUCA
RNAcentral lists this unclassified non-coding RNA (167 nucleotides) under soil metagenome. Its description in RNAcentral is "partial internal transcribed spacer 1". The record is from RNAcentral.